This 1865-nucleotide long non-coding RNA is filed under the name Sus scrofa (pig). RNAcentral describes it as "lncRNA (ENSSSCG00015068428.1)". Lineage: Eukaryota; Metazoa; Chordata; Mammalia; Artiodactyla; Suidae. The record is from RNAcentral.
GACUCUUCUCGCCCGGUUACUGCCACCUGGUUCUAAAUCAGCACGUCCCCAAAGUGCCUGAGUAUAAGAAGUGUCUGCCAGGCUGAUUGAAAGUGUAGAAUAACAGGUGAAGAAACUGAGGCACAGAGUUAGUUUAUUGCCCUAAUCACAAAGCUACAGGUGGAAGAGGAGGGUUUGAACUCAGAUUUCCUGAAUCCAAAUCUUGGUGAUGUUUAACCUAAGGUGUACUACAUCCUGAGAGCUAGCUGUCCUCAUACUCUAGAGUGGUAGAAGCCUCCCCGCUUAUCUCGGUCUCCUGCUGCCUCAUGCUGCUGCUUGAGUAGUGUGUACAGCUCCAUCAAGUGUUUCACAGUCAUGAACUGAUGCAGAGUUUACCGCUGCCCACCAGAGUCGGAGCCAUGCCUGACCAGGGCUCAGAGAAGUUGCCCACUUCUUCUCCCUGGAGGCAGCCAGUACUGUUAGUUGCCUGUAUAUUCCUCCAGAGAUGUUUUGUGCACAUGAUCUAGGCUGGGCAGAGAGAGCUUUGGGCUGCUUCCUUUUGCAAGCCAAGCACAGCCAUCCGCUCAGUUCAACAUGCGGAAAAUGCACCACCCUCAGGAAACGUGAAUGCAUCUGUGGCUCCGCGGUGAACCCCACAUCUUUGCUCCUCAUGGAGAUGCAGGGACCCAAACCAUUCCACGAGGCCAUCCUCUGGGUGGAUUUCACUCCUGCCCCAUCAGCAGAAAGAGAAAUCUCAUUGACCUAAGAUGGUUGGAGAAGGCCUUUCUGGAGAAUGAACAUUUUUGAUCAGAGUGGAGCAGAGAACAAGAUCCAGUUGGCUUGGCCAAACAUGGGGGAUGUGAUUUUGUGAUUGGACGAGGCUGGGUCUCGUGCCCAGCCCAGGUGGACAGACAGCUGGGUCUGUUACCCCAGGAAGGGGGCGAGGCGGGGGAAUGUGCCAGCACAUACAAACAGCAGCUGCCCUGUCUUCUCCACCCUCCUGGCUCCAUGACCUUGGACAAGUGACUCAAUGGAUAAGGAGCCCAACUUCCACUUCAGUAACACCUUCCUCGAAAAAUUGCUCUCCACUCAGCUCUGGUGUCUGCCGAAUCUCUAAAGGCUAUUUCUGGCUUGAACAGACCCAGGAUCUUCCUGCUUCCACGGGAGCUGCCAUUCCAGGAGGGCCUCCUGGGCACUUCCAUGGGCAAUGUCACCCUCACAACACUGAGAAACGGGUCUCAUCGUUGCCAUUUUACAAACAUGGGAACAGAAGUGAAGUGACUUGCCCAGGUUCCUGUAGGCAGUAAGUGAGCUGCACCAGGGAGCCGUGGAAGCCUCCUCAGCUGGGGAGUGAUGUUUCUGCGUCAUCAAACAUUUAUGACAAGACGGAGCAACACAGAGUGACUUGGAAUGAAUUCAACAGACCAAUAUUUUGAAAUCAGGGUGGCUUGACUUCCUUUAGAGAGAACAGUUCUCCCAUCUCUUCGAGGCAUCAUCCAGAGGAGGAAGAACAGCAAGGUUCCCAGUCCCAGAGAGCACAACUCUGGUCACACGUUCCAACUCACCGACCAUGAAGUAGCUUAACAGUCUUCUUCGAAUAAGUGAGAAGGAAGCUCCAUGUACCGAAGAGAGAGCCCUCCAGACCUGUGGUCAGACCUCGUUUCUCCUAUGACCUUAGGUAAGUCGCUUAGUCUUUUGGGAUCUCAGCUUGUUCAUCAGUAAAAUGGGGAUAACUCUGCCUACAGAUGAGAGGAACACCACUGCAUCACAAGGUCUUUCCAGAUGUCACUGGCCACGCUCUAGCCUUGCUGGCUAACUUGGAGGUGGUAUAACCUAGCAGAAGAAAAGCUAGUCUGUUUCCAGAGAAACAAGUUUAUGUGGGGGAG